UCAACAGUCCUUUUCAGGACUACAUACACUCAAGAAAGAAAGAUU
This is a non-coding RNA of Strongylocentrotus purpuratus (purple sea urchin), 45 nucleotides long. The record is from Rfam. NCBI's taxonomy places the organism in Eukaryota, Metazoa, Echinodermata, Echinoidea, Camarodonta, Strongylocentrotidae.